GGGCGGGCAGCGCCGGGUGGCGCAUCGCGUCUUGAACACGCGACGGCCGCAGCGGCCGGCGGUUCGAUUCCGCGCUCGCCCUCCA
This 85-nucleotide transfer RNA is filed under the name Oscillochloris sp. RNAcentral describes it as "tRNA-Ser". It matches the Rfam family "Selenocysteine transfer RNA". Lineage: Bacteria; Bacillati; Chloroflexota; Chloroflexia; Chloroflexales; Oscillochloridaceae. The record is from RNAcentral.